AUGGCUAACCAUUGUUCUCAUUGCAGCGUGCUCGCCCACACGAGUCAACAUGAACUUGACAUCACAGAAGACCAACUGGCAACUGCAAUUGUGUAUUUCACCGGUGUGGUAACAAACUGUUAUACUGUAGAAAAUCACCUGGAAUGCUUUAACACAGAGGUUACAAAACUGAUUGAACAGAUUGAAACUGCCCUUGAAGAGUACUAAGGAUUUCAGGUGAGCUAGUGCAGAAAUAUGCUUUCUGUAAAAAGGUUUUUAGUGGUUUUGGACUAGCAAUGCUGAUGAAAGAAUCAAUGUCAUUGAAAAUUUGCCGAAAAAUUUUAUUUUAUCAUUUUUUUAAAAUUAAGGACAAUUUAAAAAACUAUUAUAGCAAUCAGUAACAGGCAACAAGAUCAAUAGGUUGAUGAGAUGCUUCAAAUUAUAUUGUG
This 428-nucleotide long non-coding RNA is filed under the name Pogona vitticeps (central bearded dragon). RNAcentral's name for it is "lncRNA (ENSPVIG00000023190.1)". Lineage: Eukaryota; Metazoa; Chordata; Lepidosauria; Squamata; Agamidae. The record is from RNAcentral.